CAGCCGCCGCGGGAAUACAGAGGGUGCGAGCGUUAAUCGGAUUUACUGGGCGUAAAGCGUGCGUAGGCGGCUUCUUAAGUCGGAUGUGAAAUCCCUGAGCUUAACUUAGGAAUUGCAUUCGAUACUGGGAAGCUAUAGUAUGGGAGAGGAUGGUAGAAUUCCAGGUGUAGCGGUGAAAUGCGUAGAGAUCUGGAGGAAUACCGAUGGCGAAGGCAGCCAUCUGGCCUAAUACUGACGCUGAGGUACGAAAGCAUGGGGAGCAAACAGGAUUAGAUACCCCCGUAGUCCCUGUCUCUUAUAC
RNAcentral lists this ribosomal RNA (301 nucleotides) under uncultured bacterium. RNAcentral's name for it is "partial 16S ribosomal RNA". It matches the Rfam family "Bacterial small subunit ribosomal RNA", at positions 509 to 807 of the family's 1533-position model. The record is from RNAcentral.